RNAcentral lists this long non-coding RNA (999 nucleotides) under Bos taurus (domestic cattle). RNAcentral's name for it is "long non-coding RNA NONBTAT018849". Lineage: Eukaryota; Metazoa; Chordata; Mammalia; Artiodactyla; Bovidae. The record is from RNAcentral.
GUUUUUGCUAUUUUAAAAAAUUUACUGAAGUUGAGUAGAUUCACAAUGUUGUGUUGAUUUCUUCUGUACAGCGAAGUGACUCAGUUAUGCAUCAGUAUAUAUCUUCUUUUUCAUAUUCUAACUUUGGAAUUCUUGAUGAUGAUCCUCUAGAUAAUGAUGACAGCUCUGAGGAAAUGGAUGGAUGACCUUGCCUUUGAGAAUAUGGACAGCUGGAGAGGGAGAAAGAUCUCAGCCAGCAUUUAAGGCUGAAUAGAAGAUACAGAUAUAAGAGGGGGCAGGAGUUGCCAGAGAGGCCGGAGGAAAACUAAGAGAGCAACAAGAAGGAAGAAGAGAAGUGAGACUGUUGUAUCCCCUCCCUUUCAAAGAGGCUUCCUGAAAGUCCACACAUUGACCCUUGCAUCUCAUUGGCUGAAGCAUAGUCUGUAUCUGGGUGUAUCUGGCUGCAACGGAGUCUGGGAAAUGUCCUUUAGAGGUUGUGUGUAACUUCUCGAUAAAACUGGGGUUUUGUUACUGGGGCUCUGAAUGAAUAUUAAUAUAGAGUGCCAGCAGUCUCUUCUCCAGAGUUUGAAGUUUGAUUUUGGAAGAAGCAAGUUCGAAUCUGGCAUCAUCUAGCCGUGUGACUUUGAACUAAGAUUUCAUCACUAAAAUAAAAGAAUUGGACUGAAUGAUUUUUAACUUCCCUUCUAAUUGUAACUUUGCAUGAGUCUUUGACUUUGUCACAUAGUAAGGUAAGUAUAGUUUUCACAAAGAAAUAAGACUUAGAAGAAAAUAUUAUGGUAAGAAGAUGUCUAUCAAAUGUCUUAAAGUGAUUUUUGUCAUUGAUUCUUUUAAAACUUAUUCACAGAUACAGUUCUAUUCUUAUUUUUCAGAAUGCUUUCUUCCUAUAGAUGAUUUUAAUAGUAGCUCAAAAAGCAUAUGAAUUGCAUAAUACUCGUGUGCACAGAUGAACUUGAUAUUUACUUUAAUAAAUUAAAUAAAAAUAUUUAUUAUAAAAAUGUG